Molecule: long non-coding RNA, 10736 nt
Filed under: Gossypium barbadense (sea-island cotton)
Lineage: Eukaryota; Viridiplantae; Streptophyta; Magnoliopsida; Malvales; Malvaceae
Description: long non-coding RNA (GBAR_LNC011590)
Source: RNAcentral
UGGUGGGUUGUUGUCAGUUCAAAGUAUUCUUUUUUACAGACACGAGCAGCUUCCAUGGUUGUUCGGACUUGGGACAAGAAUCGUAAAGGGAUUGCGUGCAUUCUUAGAAAAAUGAGAAUAAAAUCAACAAAUGGUAUUUAAAUUGCGGCCUCUGUUAUGUCAAAUUUGCUAACAAGUUAUAUUCUUUUAUCGUGCUUGUUUUUUGCUGCACAUUACGUACGCUGCUUUGAAUAAAAAAGGGAGUUUGUUUGAUUCAAGUGUGAAUAAAAAGUUUAGUUAUUUAAGGUUGGCUGCACAUUGCCACAACGCCAAUAUUGUGGGGUGACCUAGUUUUAUUCUAGACCAACUGAAAUGGUUGAAUUUUGAUUUUGGUCCCUCUACUUCUACAAUGUCAUUAAUAAUAUACUUGUUGCAAGGGGUUGACUUCUUCAAGAGAAGUCUUUGAAGUUGUCUGUAGGGUAGUUAGUUGGUUGAUCCCCCAGCAAUGUUAAGAUAUUGUCCCCAGAUCAUAUCGGUGUAUGAUUUAUAGAGGGAAAUCGUACAUAGACGCAUGACCACUCACGAAUUGAACAUGAAUGUCUUCGCUCUUGUUGGGGUUUGAACCAUUGAUCUUUGGCAUAUAGGUUACUGCAUAGGAGAUAUGGUACCACUUGAGCUAGUGAAUGUCCCCUUAAGGUGGGAGACAAAAUCUCAACAUGAUACGAGGACAAUACCGUAUGUUGGAAGAAUUGAUUGACUGUCCAACAAAUAACACUUUAAAAACUUUAACAAAAAAGAGCCGGCCUUCCUCAACCAUACUAAUAUAAAUUCUUUUUUUACUUAAAAAUAUUCUUUCAAAAUCAAAGGAAAACAAAAUAGCAAAGUCAUUAAUACAGUGGUAAAAAGAAUUGUGUUGAUUUUAAUUAUUAGUUGACAUCAUACCUCUAGGGGUUUAGAUGGGGCAAGCAGUAACCUUGACCUCUCAAAUAAGGUAAAUUUAUAAAAUUAUCCUUUGGUCUCUCAAAAUUUUAUUUAUCCCUGCAUAUCUCGAGUUUAAACCUUGGUCCCUUUCUCCUCCCCUAUAAGAAAAUAAUGAUAAUUUUUAAUUAUUGGACUAAAUAAUGAUAAGAGGAAUAAAUUAUGUCAGAUUAAAGUAUGAUAACUUUGUUUAAAAAAAAAAAGAAGUAUGAUAACUAAAUCUUAAACUUGAGAAUAAUAAAGGGACCAAAACCAAAAUUUAAACUAAAUAAAAAAACAAUAAUGGCUGCAAAUUGGACACAUUUUUGCUGGUGUCAUACUAGGGAAGUUUCGUCCCUAAGAGUAAAAUUAAAUUGAUCAGAACGUUUUGCAGGGAACUUCAUACUAGCCUUUGUUUUAAGCUGCUGCUUCUUUUUCCUGUUUUAGACUUAGUCACGUGAAAUUUUGUGUUGGAACAGUACCGAAAUAAUCCCUUUUAAUUAUAAGAAAGUAAAAGGUGCUUUCUAUCAUCACAUGAAUAAUUAAAAAUUUCUUAAUAUUGAUUAUCAAAAUUAUGAUUUUUGUUGUUGUUAUUCAUGAGUUAUAUAUAUAUGUUUUAGUUGUCGGUGGGAACAUAUAAAUAUAUAUACUCUAACAAAAUGAAUAUAAAUUUCUUAAUAUUGAUUAUAGAUAUUGUGUGACUCGAAUCUCGUCAUUUUUUGAAGAAAUAAAUACAGUGGAAAAUAAAGGGAUCUGUGGGCAACUCCUACUAUUUGACUUUGAUUAGAGCAAGAUUUUUCAACCCUUAAAUAAAUGUAGUCGAAACUCCUCUUGUAUCAUUCAUUAGUGAAUUUCUUCUCCUCUACACGUGAUUUUUUCCCGAAAGGGUUCCACGUAAAAUCUGUGUUUUUAUUUUUCUUUUCUUAUUGCCUUGCAAUUGUUCUACCGUCAUUACUUACUUUAAUUAUAACAAGUAUUUAAAUUUUAAGUCACAUGUUUUAAAUAUACUCAACAUCAAAAUCCAUCUAGUAUUAGUAAGUUGACAGAAUAUCCUAAUUGAUAAGAUACUGAAACUUUGAGUAUUCAAUUAAGAAGUUUUAAAAUUAUUGAUGACCAAUUUAAAUUUUGAACAAUAGUUUAAGGCAUCUAAUGCAAUUAACCCGAAGAUGAAAUUAAAAAAUUAGCAUUCCCAAUCAUAGUUAUUAGAAUAGUUUAAUGGGUUUCUAGUCAUAUAUAAAAGUAAACAAAGACUAACAACUUUGGCAACAAAGCACACGAAAAUUAAUUAAUUUUUAAUUUAACUUGCAUUUACUUGCUAGUUGAUGAAGUGGGCAACUUCCAAAGUCAAAAUUGGUAAUUGAAGGCACCUUUUGUAGGAAGAUUCCACUUGAAGAUAAAAGGAGGGCUAAGAAACCCUUUCGCCCUUUGCAUUUGUCCCAAAGAUGGAAAGGUAACCAAAUAAGAAUCAUUGACUACUCUUUCCCCUCCCUCAAGAUUUAGGGUUUAAUUAUGUAGCCUUUGAAAAGUUGGAUAUAUAGAGUUGAUAUACUAUGAAUUCCCCAAUUUUGAUGCCCAUUUUAAGGAGAUUCUCAUGUACUUUGCAAGUAGUUUUCUUUAUCGAUACAAUAUUGGGACUGGGAUGAUAAUGACAAGGUUUAAAUUCGUAUCACUUAGAUGUCUGAUAAAAACGUUAACUAUUGUUUCAAACAAGUGUCGCGAGCUGUUACUUAUUAAUUCGAGUUAAUAUAUUAUUUGGUGCAUAUAUUUGAUUUCAAUGUUUAUGUAACACUCCUAACCCGUAUCCGUUGCCGGAAUAAUUUUAUGAGGUAUUACUUGACUGAACAAAACUUCUAUAAGGUCAAAGAUAUUUACCAGACAUAAAUUAUCAACAAUGCAACCUGUCUCAUUGAUUUUUUCAUAAGAGCUCUUAUAAAUUUCCAAAAUGACUAACUAUCAAAACAUAACCGAAUAUCUAAUAACAAAUUAACUACUAUCAAGUUAUAACUAAAACAUUUCAACACAUUAGUUCAAUUAUAAGGCUUCUCUAAACAAAAUAAGCGAGCCAUCUUCGCAUGACUAUAAUGUAUACAAAGUCAAAAUAUCAUUCUACCUAUAGUCUAUCCUAUACAUGCCUUAAAUCAUGAUGAUAUACCAUCUUCUCAACUCACAUAAUGACUCGGUAGUGUGAUGAUAUCUCCGGCUCUUCCAACUCGAACUAAAGGAUAAACCUAUAAGGAAUGGAAAAGAGAACACGGAGUAAGCUUCAAUGCUUAGUAAGUUUUAAGCAAUGCAAACAAUUAAUUUACUUAUAGAUCGAUUAUUUCAAAUUUUCAAGAAAUCAUUCCUAGGUAAUUGCCAUUUCGACCAAGUAUCCAUGAACAUAAUGCAUAUUUAGAAAAUUCACCUCACUUGAAUCUGAACUCAAUUAAAACCAAAUAUUGAAAUCACAAAUAAGAUCAUAAGAACUCGAAAAGUAUCUCAUUAACUAGUUUUAACCAUGUUUGCAACAAAAUCACAAAUUCACUACAAGCUGUUUUCCUGAGCAAUAGUCACUAAAUUAUUUAUAACUGGAGAUAAGAAACUCCAAAUAAAGUGCCGUUAAUUUUUCCUGAAAAUAGACUUAUAUAUCUUCCAUCCAUAAAAUUUUCAGAAUUUUUGGUUUGACCAAUCAAUACCAGAUUUUAUUGAAUUUUCCCCUGUUUCACUGUUUGACUAUUCUAACCACUCUUCACUACAAAUCAAUUUUCUCAUUACACAGAAUUUGAAAUAUGUUAUCGUUUACUUCAUUUGAAACUAGACUCAUUAAGGAGUCUAAGAAUAUAAAUUUUAUCUUAUAAUCAUCAUUUUACAAUUUACAAUGAUUUUCUAAAGACAGAACAGGGGAUUUCAAAGUCAUUUUGGCUCUGUCUCACUCCACUUCAAAUAUCUCAUUAUCUAAAAUUUUUUUGCUUACACGGUUUCUUUUAUAAGAAACUAGACUCAUUAAGCUUUAAUUUCAUAAUUUAUUCAGAUUCUAAUUCAAUUUCCAUAAUUUAUGGUGAUUUUUCAAAAUCACGCUACAGUUGCUAUCCCAAGCAGAUUUAUUACAAAUUUGCUCUUUCACACAUUCCUUGCAUUCAAAUUAUCUAAACAUGUAUAUCAUGUCAUUCAAGAUCGAACUAAUAUAACAUAGGCAUUAAAAUGCUUCACUAUCAGCUUUAGUUCAAUUGAAACGAAUGAAAUACGAUAUCAUAUUCACAUUUAAUUUUCCAAGAUCGUAAUCACCUAAAAAUAAAAUCAUAUACUUCCACAAACCUUUCCACAAGGACCAAGUGUUUAUAUUUGAAUAUAAACAUAGAAUCACUUCACAUAACUUCACAUAUUUACCGAAUAUAUCACAAUCACAUUUAUAGUCAUAACACUUAUUCACAGAUGCAUCACUUUAUAUAUAUUUGUAAUUUAAUUCAAAUCAAAAUCGCAUACGAGUACAUGAUACAUACUUGGCCAACUUAAUAUGUAAUGCACUUUCAAUUUGUCAACUUAGUGUAGGAUCUUGUAAUUGUAUACUUUUAUCAAAUUCAUCGGCACUUGGCCUACUAGGUAUAAAACCCGAAAUUAUAUUAUCAGCACAAAGCCUGCGGGACUUUAACCCGGAUACAUUUCCAGCACGAAGCCUGCGGGACUUUGGCCCAGAUAUAUUUCCAGCACGAAGCCUGCGGGACUUUAGCCCGGAUACAUUUCCAGCACGAAGCCUACGGGACUUUAGCCCGGAUACAUUUCCAGUGUCUUGCAUAUUUAUUCACAUGUUAACGCAUUUCACAUAAUAUUUCACAUUAACAAUUUAAUUGCUUCAUUCGAAUAUAAGCACAAAAUGUACACCUACCUUUUAACUUUCGGUUCAAUAAUCAUACACAAGGAACACAUAAUCUUUUCAUUAUCCUGGUUUCACUUUUAAUAACCAUUCGACUAUAUGCCAUAUUCACAAAUUAUUUCACACACAACCUCGAUCAAGUAGGAACAAUAGUCACAAUUCAUCUAUUAUACAAAUAUCCCAUUCUUUGACUUUGUUUCAUAAUAGCUAUUCUGUCACCACAUAUAUAUACCAUUCAAUUCACCUUCGACUUUAUACAAACAAGUACAAUAAAAUUGUAUACACAUAUUACACACUUUCACAUCAUCACUUAAUAGUCAUUCGGCCACAUUAUAUACAUAAAUCAUCCAUUUCAUAUUCGGCUUUAUAGCCGAAAUUCAAUAUACUUAUUGCAAAUCGAACUUGUAAACGUCAAAUAAUUACUUAUCAUAUUAUAUAAUCUUAAGCGCGCAGCAAAUCAAAUAUAAUUACUUAAGGACUUACCUCGGAAGACGAUAAUCGGAACGAGACGACUAAUCGACCAUUUUGAUUUUCCCCCCGAUCCAAAUCCGAAUUCUACUUUUGCCAAUCUAAUUAAUAUCAAAAUUAACUCACUUAUUCAACAUUUCUUUAAAUUUUAUCUAAAGACACAUAAUUUGGGCAUUUUGCAUUUUAUCCCCUAACAUUUCACAUUUUUACAAUUUAAUCCCUAUUUCAAAAUAACACAAAUUACUCAAAAUUUCAUCAAACCCAUGUUAGGCCGAAUUUACCUUAGGUCUCUAGCAACCCAUUUCUUUUAUUUAUUUCAUGUUUUGACCCCUCAAUUUACAAAUUUCUAAAUUUAGUCCUUAAUACACAUUUUUAUCAAAAAUCACUUAAUCAAUCAUGAAAAUCAAACAUCAAAGAUUUAUUACUCAUCAUCAAACAAGAUACUCAAACAUUCAAUAAUGGCAUCAUCCAAAUACUUUAACAAUUUUAAAAUUAGAGGUACGGGCCAGCUAGAUUACGAAGCAACGAUCUCAAAAACAUAAAAAUUAUUAAAAACCGAGACGACAUGGACUUACAUGCAUGAACAACCAUGGCCGAACCUUCAAAGCUUUGAGAACAUUAUUUUCUUUCUCACAUUCGGCUAUUGAUGAAGAUGAUAGCAUGUAAUUUGGCUUUUGUUUUAUUUUAUUUUAUUAUAAUUACCAAAUAACAUAUUUAACCUUAAUAUACAUUAAUAAUUUCCAUUAUACCAAGCCAUGAAAUUCCACUAUCAACAAUUAUGGAAUAAUUACCACUUAAGGACUCCCACUAUUUAAUUCCAUAGCUAUUUAAUAUCUUUAACUUAUAGAACACAACUUUUACGCUUUGCGCGAUUUAGUCCUUUUUGCUUAAUUAACUAUCAAAACAAUAAAAUUUUUCAACGAAACUUUAAUAUCAUCUUAUUGCAACUCCGUAAAUAUUUAUAAAAAUAUUUACGACUCGGUUUAUAGAAAUGAGGUCUCGAUACCUCAUUUUCUAAACCCACUUGACCUCAGGGUCAUACCACUUGAGCUUAAUAAAUCGCUUAUAAAACAAAAAUCACAAUAUCAAAAACCUUUUUUAAACUCACAAUUAACUCAUAAAUAUUAAAUAUAAUAUUUACAAACCUACUCAUCGAUUUAGUGGCCCCGAAACCACUGUUCUGAUUAACCCUAAAAACGGGUUGUUACAGUUUAAUUUGGUAUUUGAGUUUUUCUUAUCCCGUACAAGUAUCUAAGUUUGACAUCAAUAUUCAAUUUGGUACCUAAUUUUUUCUUUUGUCCCAAUUAAGUAUCUUUUUUUUUUUACUAUUGCAUACAUAUCAAAUAUUUAUUGGGCUACAUGAUGUUGUUUAGUUUGGACACCAAAUUGAACAUUAAAGACAAAUUCAAGUACCAAAUGGAACAUUGAAACAAAUAUAGAUACCAGAUGUUAUAUUAACCCUUUCUACCAUAAUAAUUCAAUAUACAAACAUAUAUACAUAUAAAACUAAAAUCUAACCUUCUCAUUUCUCAGCAACUACACUUAAAAGGUCUUUGUUAUAGUAUGGCACAUCCCAUUCAUUAAGCAACCAAUGAGAGGUAUAAUUAGGCAUCUUUGGAUGGCCAAUUACCUCUACCUCAAACUCUUUGGAUAACAUUCAAAUGAGGUGAGUUUGGGAUUUCAAUUAAUUAUUACAAAAGAGGAUUAAUACAUUAGUAAGAUUAAAUAAGCAAUUUAAUAUUUUUAAAUAAAACAAAAAUCACCCACUUUUACUCAUAUAGUUUUCUUUUUAUCAAAACUAUUUUCAUAUUUUCUAUUACCUUAUCAAUAAUUAUUAUUGUUUUUAAAAUAAUUUUUAUUUCUUUUACUCACAUAAGCUUUUAAGUUAAAUGCCACUAAAUUAUUAGUAAGUUUACGUUUUGGUUACUCAACUUCAAAAGGUUAUAAAAUGGUCACUGAAUUAUUCAAAAGUUUUCAUAUAAGUUAUUAGGUUGUUAAAGUCGUUACUAUAUGGCCUUCUCUAUUCGCACCACUUGCACCAAUCGAAAGCUCUCAUUCUCCUUUUCUACAGUUCAUUUUUUUUCUUGAAACAACUUUGAAUAUUACGAAUCUACGAGUCAAAAUCCAAACAACUUUAUUCUCGAAUCUCUGACACUGACCGUUAGAUCGACUUAGAUCUAAUUAAGAUGGGUACUAAACAAACAUACUUGUCGAAACCAUUUUUAAUUUAAAAACAGGGAUCGACUUUAAAAUGAAAUAUGUAGUCGCCACCAAUCAUUUUUGUUUAGGUGUGAUUGGAUCACCUAAUAAAACAUCUUAUUUUAUUAAAAUAUUGAUUUUGGCCUACGAAAUUCAAGAAAACAGGUUCGGGAGUGAGUUACAUACGAGGAAGGAUUAGCACCCUCGGAACGCCCAAAAUUGGUACCUAACUGAUUAAUUAAUGUACUAAUGUCGAAAAUUUGAAAAGAUUUUAAAAUACAAUCCCAUUUAAAAAUGUUUGAAUAUAAUCGAAUUGGAUAUUAAGAUUCUCUUGCUCCGAAGGAAUAAAAUAUCACAUCCAGUAAGUUAAGAUACGACAAUUUAAACCCUCGAAACCAAGAUCAUCUCAUGGUUUCCAAAACUCAUGCAUUAAAAUUUUAAAAGGAUUUUCGGUUAUUUGGUCAAACGGUAAAUCGAAACCCAGCACGUUAGGGCACGAUUUCUCGAAAUUUCCAAACACGGAAUAUUGCUUUAUUUUUUUAAUAAACCCUUACCUCGAGAUAACAAAAUGUCACAUCCAGUAAAUUAGGACUACAUUUUGAAUUCCCGAAAUAAGCUUUUAUUUGAAAAUUUUAUGUUUUGACUUAAAAAAAAGAUACUUGGUUACUUAGAUUCAACGAGGAAAAUUAGAAUCUAGUAAGUUAGGACACAAUAUUCUUGAAGCUCCCAAAUAUGAGCAUUACCUUAUUUGAAAAACUCUUGAAUAAAAUGCAAUAAUUAAAUGAAAUGCAUUUUUUUAUUUAAGACGAUGAUUUGUUAAUAAAACCAUUACACCAAUAAAAUAUUGAAUGCAAAUGCUAAAUGAUAAUUCAUGGAAAUUGCACAACAUGCUAACUUUCAAUGCUAAUAUAAACGAUUAAGAGAAAAUGUAGUAACAACAUAACUAAUAUCUCAAAUAGUACAAAGACAAUGCCAAGACUAACAUAAAAAGAAUGAUAAAAUAUCGAAAUUUUAAUAAAAAAAUAAAGUAAAUAACAGUUAAAUAUAUAUAUAUAUAUAUAUAAAAUAAAAGUUAAGGAAUAAAAUGAGACUUUAUAUAAAGGAAAUCAAAUAUAUAUAAAAUAAAGUAUGUAAAAUUAAUGAUAUAUAAAAAUAGAUAAUUAACAAAACAAUUUAAAAAAUAUGGUGAAGUUUACAAUGGAUAAUAUAUAUAUAUAUAUAUAUAAAAUAUAAAACAUUAAAAAAACUUGAAUAAAUAGCAAAACAAUUUAAAAAAUGAAUAAUGUGGUAAAUUUUAAAAAGAAUAAUAUAUACACAUAUGUGAUAAUAUAUGGUAAAUAACAUAUGUUUAAAAUAAAUAAUAACCUUAAAUAAAUAAUAGAACGAUUUAAAAAUAAAGGAUACAACAAAUUUUAAAUUACAAUUAAAAAGAUUAAAACUAUAUAAUAUACAUAAAAGAUAAUAUUUAAUGAAUAAAAUAAUAUAUAAUAAAGCAACCUAAUGUAAAUAAUAACAAAAAGAACAAAAUGAUUUUAAAUAAACAAUACAUAAAAUAUUAAAAUAAAUAAAUAAAUAACAAAUAUAAAAAAAGAUUAAAAUCCAACAAACUAGGGACUAAAUCAGAAGAAAAAAAAGUCAGGGAAAAAAAACAAAGAAAUAUGCGUACAAGGACCAAAUUAUAACACGCGUGAAAACGGGGGAGCGAUCUGGGAAAUACCUCAGGACCGUAUGUGCAGCAUUCAGGGAAAGGACCAAAAUAUAAUGAGCGUAAAAGCGCGGGGAUCAAUUUGGAAAUUAAUCCCUUCUCUCAAAAACCAGCGUUUAAGCAUAGAUUAAAUUAGAAUAGCGCACAAAUUUCAGGAAAAAUUUAAAUAAUACAAAAGAAAUAUAAAUAGGACUCAAUCAGAUGGCACCAAAACAUGGAGGGACCAAAUGAGAAAUUCACCCAAAGCAGCUAAACACGCGAUCCUCCUCGGGUCGGGUCGGUUCGCACGCGGGUCAGCACGAAACGGUGCCGUUUCAGCACCUGGGUUCCAAAGACUAAGCGGCGCCGUUUUAUUUGUUAUUAAAACAGAAAAAAAAUUCAUUUGAAUGGCAAUCUGCCAUUUUCUACAAAAAUCCAAACAAAUCCCUAACCCCCAUUCUUUUAUCGCUCAGUUGGCCGACAAAGGAACCCUCAGCUCCGUCCUCCACACACCACUGUGAUCGGUGAUAGACAUAGAGCGAAGGUCCAUCUCCUCCCCUUAAAACCAAGCUCAGAAGCCUUAAAAGUUUCCACCCCGGAGACCCCUCUUUGCUUCGAUUGCAACGAAGAAGAUGAGGCUCCGACGGUGCACUUGUGAAGGUAUAUCCCUCGCUUUUUUAUUUUUACACGCAAAGAAAGAAACAAAGAUUCAAGAAGAGAGAAAAAAAAUCGAAAGAAAGAGAUCCGAGAAUCACCUUUGAGAAUUUUUUUCUUUUUCUUUUUGGAUUGAUUUCUAUUCAAAUGUAUGCGUAAAAAAAUCCCUUUACACCGUUUUUAACCGGCUUUAUAUAGCCGAAAAUAAAAAUAAAAAUUUACAAAUUUUGAUUUUUUUUGCUCUCUUUGCUACUGUUAUUUUUUGCUGUUUGUUAUCCUUGUUGUAAUUUGCUGUCAAUCUAUGUUGCCGCUAUUCUGUUUUGCUACUAUGUACGGCGUGGAGAUGGCUGUUCGUGGGAGAGCUGCGGAUGUGGCCAUGACGCGCUGGAGAUCCCUGCUGAGGCAACUGCGGCGCUAGCCUUAGGGUUCCAGUUUCUGGAGCCGAAGAUCUGGGCCAUUCGGGCUCGUUUUAGAAGUGGGCUGUUGGGCCUUAUGAGUUUAGGUUUAGAAUCUGAAAAUUGGGUAGUUUAUUUUAGGCCAUAGUGGGCCAUUGUAACAUGGACUUGGACUUUGUUUUAUUAUUGGGCUUGUAUGGACUGUUUAUUAGUUUUUGUUUUUGUACAGGCCCGGGCAAAAAUGGGCCAUUACAAUACUGAUUGUCGAAUUGUCGAAUUAGCCAAAAUUUUAAAAAGAUUAACAGCUCAAUGACUUAAAUAAAAAUUUUCAAAUAGUAUAAUGAUAUUUUAUAAUAAGUGAUCAAAAUAUAAAUUUAUUAAUACUUUAAUAACUUUGGAUGAAAUUUACCCUAAUCAGAAAAAUGGUGAACGGGUGAGUAACCAUUGGGCUCAAGGCUUAUGGGCUUUUAUCUUAUUGAUUUCCAGAACAGAACCAAAGCAAGUAACCAGUGGCACCAAAAAGCCAUUUCUGAGCAUUUCAAUUUUUUUU